RNAcentral lists this ribosomal RNA (465 nucleotides) under Vreelandella stevensii. RNAcentral's name for it is "partial 16S ribosomal RNA". It matches the Rfam family "Bacterial small subunit ribosomal RNA", at positions 338 to 795 of the family's 1533-position model. Lineage: Bacteria; Pseudomonadati; Pseudomonadota; Gammaproteobacteria; Oceanospirillales; Halomonadaceae. The record is from RNAcentral.
CCUACGGGUGGCAGCAGUGGGGAAUAUUGGACAAUGGGGGCAACCCUGAUCCAGCCAUGCCGCGUGUGUGAAGAAGGCCCUCGGGUUGUAAAGCACUUUCAGUGAGGAAGAACGCCUGGUGGUUAAUACCCAUCAGGAAAGACAUCACUCACAGAAGAAGCACCGGCUAACUCCGUGCCAGCAGCCGCGGUAAUACGGAGGGUGCGAGCGUUAAUCGGAAUUACUGGGCGUAAAGCGCGCGUAGGUGGCUUGAUAAGCCGGUUGUGAAAGCCCCGGGCUCAACCUGGGAACGGCAUCCGGAACUGUCAAGCUAGAGUGCAGGAGAGGAAGGUAGAAUUCCCGGUGUAGCGGUGAAAUGCGUAGAGAUCGGGAGGAAUACCAGUGGCGAAGGCGGCCUUCUGUACUGACACUGACACUGAGGUGCGAAAGCGUGGGUAGCAAACAGGAUUAGAUACCCCAGUAGUC